RNAcentral lists this ribosomal RNA (442 nucleotides) under uncultured bacterium. Its description in RNAcentral is "partial 16S ribosomal RNA". It matches the Rfam family "Bacterial small subunit ribosomal RNA", at positions 338 to 795 of the family's 1533-position model. The record is from RNAcentral.
CCUACGGGUGGCAGCAGUGGGGAAUAUUGGGCAAUGGACGCAAGUCUGACCCAGCAACGCCGCGUGAAGGAAGAAGGCUUUCGGGUUGUAAACUUCUUUUAAGGGGGAAGAGCAGAAGACGGUACCCCUUUAAUAAGCCACGGCUAACUACGUGCCAGCAGCCGCGGUAAUACGUAGGUGGCAAGCGUUGUCCGGAAUUACUGGGUGUAAAGGGAGCGUAGACGGCUGUUCAAGUCUGGAGUGAAAGGCGGGGGCCCAACCCCCGGACUGCUCUGGAAACUGUAUGGCUGGAGUGCAGGAGAGGUAAGCGGAAUUCCUAGUGUAGCGGUGAAAUGCGUAGAUAUUAGGAGGAACACCAGUGGCGAAGGCAGCUUACUGGACUGUAACUGACAUUGAGGCUCGAAAGCGUGGGGAGCAAACAGGAUUAGAUACCCCAGUAGUC